RNAcentral lists this ribosomal RNA (378 nucleotides) under Triticum aestivum (bread wheat). RNAcentral's name for it is "partial small subunit ribosomal RNA". Lineage: Eukaryota; Viridiplantae; Streptophyta; Magnoliopsida; Poales; Poaceae. The record is from RNAcentral.
AUGCUGUCUUCUCAGGAUGCUUCAAUGGUGGGAGCAUGCUCUGGUGGGAUGAAAAUAAUUCCACAUGGUUCGGUUGGAACUGUUGCUAUCACUCAGGGAAACUCUAAUGAAAUCAGUGCAGUACUGUGUAGAUAUUCAGCACCAGAAGAGGUACAUCUCUUCAGUUGCCUAAAAAUCAUGUCAACAAAUAAGAUUGUUUGUACCUUACAAAAUUCACCCGGGCAGGUUGGUACUUUGCCAUCAGCAUGUGUUGCAUGUGCUAGUGAGUGUGCCAGUCUGAUUAUUUUCUACAAGUACAAGUAUCUUUUUCGCCUUAAAUUUCAAUCUCAGAAACAGAUUAUACGUAGUGUUUCUGUCCUGGUAGCUUUGGUUAUGUGA